GAUGAAGAACGUAGCAAAAUGCGAUAAGUAAUGUGAAUUGCAGAAUUCAGUGAAUCAUCGAAUCUUUGAACGCACAUUGCGCCCGCCAGUAUUCUGGCGGGCAUGCCUGUCCGAGCGUCAUUGCUGCCCUCAAGCACGGCUUGUGUGUUGGGCCUCCGUCCUCCUCCCGGGGGACGGGCCCGAAAGGCAGCGGCGGCACCGCGUCCGGUCCUCGAGCGUAUGGGGCUUCGUCACCCGCUCUUGUAGGCCCGGCCGGCGCUUGCCGACACAUCAAUCUUUUUUCCAGGUUGACCUCGGAUCAGGUAGGGAUACCCGCUGAACUUAAGCAUAUCAAUAAGCGGAGGA
Molecule: unclassified non-coding RNA, 345 nt
Filed under: soil metagenome
Description: partial contains 5.8S ribosomal RNA, internal transcribed spacer 2, and large subunit ribosomal RNA
Rfam family: 5.8S ribosomal RNA (bases 1-120)
Source: RNAcentral